AACGCGAAGAACCUUACCAAGGUUUGACAUGCAGGGAAAAGCCGUAGAGAUACGGUGUCCGUAAGGGUCCUGCACAGGUGGUGCAUGGCUGUCGUCAGCUCGUGUCGUGAGAUGUUGGGUUAAGUCCCGCAACGAGCGCAACCCUCGUCCUAUGUUGCCAGCGGGUAAUGCCGGGGACUCAUAGGAGACUGCCGGGGUCAACUCGGAGGAAGGUGGGGAUGACGUCAAGUCCUCAUGCCCCUUAUGUCUUGGGCUGCAAACAUGCUACAAUGGCCGGUACAAAGGGUUGCGAGACCGCAAGGUGGAGCGAAUCCCAAAAAGCCGGUCUCAGUUCGGAUUGGGGUCUGCAACUCGACCCCAUGAAGUCGGAGUCGCUAGUAAUCGCAGAUCAGCAACGCUGCGGUGAAUACGUUCCCGGGCCUUGUACACACCGGCUAC
This 438-nucleotide ribosomal RNA is filed under the name uncultured bacterium. RNAcentral describes it as "bacterial SSU rRNA". It matches the Rfam family "Bacterial small subunit ribosomal RNA", at positions 958 to 1397 of the family's 1533-position model. The record is from RNAcentral.